RNAcentral lists this ribosomal RNA (301 nucleotides) under uncultured bacterium. RNAcentral's name for it is "partial 16S ribosomal RNA". It matches the Rfam family "Bacterial small subunit ribosomal RNA", at positions 509 to 807 of the family's 1533-position model. The record is from RNAcentral.
CAGCAGCCGCGGGAAAACGGAGGGUGCAAGCGUUAAUCGGAAUUACUGGGCGUAAAGCGUGCGCAGGCGGUUAUAUAAGACAGAUGUGAAAUCCCCGGGCUCAACCUGGGAACUGCAUUUGUGACUGUAUAGCUAGAGUACGGCAGAGGGGGAUGGAAUUCCGCGUGUAGCAGUGAAAUGCGUAGAUAUGCGGAGGAACACCGAUGGCGAAGGCAAUCCCCUGGGCCUGUACUGACGCUCAUGCACGAAAGCGUGGGGAGCAAACAGGAUUAGAUACCCGUGUAGUCCCUGUCUCUUAUAC